Molecule: ribosomal RNA, 307 nt
Filed under: uncultured Limnohabitans sp.
Lineage: Bacteria; Pseudomonadati; Pseudomonadota; Betaproteobacteria; Burkholderiales; Comamonadaceae
Description: bacterial SSU rRNA
Rfam family: Bacterial small subunit ribosomal RNA
Source: RNAcentral
UGACGAGUUUGAUCCUGGCUCAGAUUGAACGCUGGCGGAAUGCUUUACACAUGCAAGUCGAACGGUAGAGGGGGGCAACCCCUUGAGAGUGGCGAACGGGUGAGUAAUAUAUCGGAACGUGCCCAGUCGUGGGGGAUAACGUAGUGAAAAUUACGCUAAUACCGCAUACGAUCUAAGGAUGAAAGCGGGGGUACUUUGCAGCAAUGCAAAGCCUCGCGCGAUCGGAGCGGCCGAUGUCAGAUUAGGUAGUUGGUGGGGUAAAGGCUCACCAAGGCGACGAUCAGUAGCUGGUCUGAGAGGAUGAGCA